UCAUCAAUUAGAAUCGAGAGUCCAUGGUUUUACUCGUUAAAGAGCUCCGAUGUUGGUUCAUUUCGCGGGCACAGCUCUCCUGUUCCUGACCCCUUCGUGGAAAAAGUUUUGACCCAUCGCCAUGAUCGCUGCUGCGAGCUUUUCGUCGUAGCGGCCGAUCUCUGUCUCCGUCUCUGCGAUUUUGCUUCGUGCGGGAAUGGCGGGCUCGACUUCCUUCAACACAGAAACCCAACUCGUACAAAGCAUCUGUGGACUCAUAAUCAAAGGUCAAGGGAACUGUCCCUUCCACUCGAAGCUCUCUUCGGUUCUCACCUCCGCAAUCAUUCAUCAAGUUCUCCUCAGCUUCUCGCUCCAUUGUCCCAGUCCUUCUCAUUUGUUGGCAUUCUUCAAGAACGUGGAAUCGAUGCCCGGGCACAAGCACUCUUUACAAUCCUCGUGGACGAUGAUUCACAUCCUCACCAAGCACAAACACUUCAGGAGUGCCCAGGACCUGCUCGAGAAAAUCGCUCGAAGAGAUUUCUUGUCGUCCCCGUCAGUUUUGGGAGCUCUGGUGAGGGCACAUGAUGACCCGGAUGCCAAUUCGCAGGUUUUCAGCUGGCUGGUGAUAUUUUAUGCGAAUUCCAGGAUGACCCAGGAUGCGGUUCAAGUGUUCGAGCACAUGAGAGUGUGCGGCCUUAAGCCACAUUUGCAUGCCUGCACUGUGUUGUUGAGUUCUUUGGCGAAGGAUCGACUGACUGAUAUGGUGUGGAAAUUAUACAAGAAGAUGGUUAGGCUCGGGGUUGUCCCGAAUAUUCACAUAUACAACGUGCUGAUUCAUGCUUGUUGCAAGUCUGCAGACACGGAGAAAGCGGAAAAGAUAUUGAUUGAAAUGGAGUCUAAAUGUGUUCAUCCUGACCUCUUCACGUACAAUACGUUGAUAGCGUUGUACUGCAAGAAGGGCAUGCAUUAUGAAGCUCUAUGUGUUCAAGAUAGAAUGGAAAGAGGAGCAGUUAGUCCUGAUAUUGUAACCUAUAACUCUCUUGUGUAUGGACUUUGCAGGGAAGGCAGGAUGAGAGAAGCUGUGAGGCUUUUUAGGGAAAUCAAAGGUGUUUCGCCUAAUCAUGUGACGUAUACAACCUUAAUUGAUGGGUAUUGCAGAAUAAAUGACCUCGAAGAGGCUUUAAGGUUGCGAGAGGUGAUGGUGGCCAAAGGUCUGUAUCACGGUGUUGCAACGUACAAUUCCAUCCUGCGAAAAUUAUGUGAACAAGGUAGAAUGAGGGAUGCCAACAAGCUCUUGAAUGAGAUGAGCGAGCAGAAAGUAGAACCUGAUAAUAUUACGUGCAACACUUUGAUUAAUGCAUACUGCAAGAUAAGGGAUAUGAGGUCUGCAUUGAAAGUGAGGAAUAAGAUGCUCGAGGCUGGACUUAAGUUGGACCAAUUCACGUACAAGGCACUGAUUCAUGGUUUCUGCAAGGUUCAAGACAUGCACAACGCAAAAGAUUUCCUCAUUAGCAUGCUUAAUGCUGGAUUGUCUCCCAGCUACUGCACUUAUUCCUGGCUUAUAGAUGGGUACUGUGACUUAAAUGAGGAAGAGGCGAUACUAAGACUCCCGGAUGAACUUGCUAAGAGAGGUCUUUGUGUCGAUGUUUCUCUGUACAGGGCGCUGAUAAGGAGGUUCUGUAAAAGAGAGAAGAUUGAUUAUGCUGAAAAAGUCUUUUCAAUAAUGAAAGAGAAGGGCAUAUCAGGAGAUAGUGUCAUAUACAGCAGUCUAGCCUAUGCCUACAUGAAAGUGGGGAACACUACAGCCUCAUCAGCCAUGAUGGAUGACAUGUAUAAGAGGAGGUUAAUGAUAACUUUAAAGAUCUAUAGAAGCUUAAGUGCUUCCUGUGUAGGUGAUGAAAACAUCUCAAGGCUCUUUUGGAACGAGGUGGUUGACAGAGGCCUAAUGUCAAAAAGCAGUUUGAAGGAUAUUCAACACUCUGCUUGGCAUUCAUGAAGUAAGAGCAUUAAUUCAUGGUAAAUUGAUUAUUUUUAGCUCUGCAAUGUGAGUUGCUCAAAAAACUGGUAAGUUGUUUAAUGCAGCUGCAAACCUCUAUGGAAAAGAAAAAGGUCCAGUGCAGGUUUUCUGUGAGCUGUCAUUUUAGCUUUGAGAUUGCUUGAAUGCCACAGCCCGAUCAAUUGCACAAGGGUGUCUCCUCAAGAAGCUAUACAUUGUUGCAGUUACUUGUCACAUAAGAGCAACACCGAUGAGUUGGACAUAGGUUGGGACAUCAUCUUGAUCCACAAGACAGACCACUGCCACGCGAAGGUUCUUCAACAAUUUUCUAAU
RNA transcript from Rhodamnia argentea, 2308 nucleotides. It is a transcript of the gene named pentatricopeptide repeat-containing protein At5g38730, with no coding region annotated. The transcript has 2 exons. The record is from RefSeq and is a predicted model, not a curated record. NCBI's taxonomy places the organism in Eukaryota, Viridiplantae, Streptophyta, Magnoliopsida, Myrtales, Myrtaceae.